Molecule: ribosomal RNA, 681 nt
Filed under: uncultured bacterium
Lineage: Bacteria
Description: bacterial SSU rRNA
Rfam family: Bacterial small subunit ribosomal RNA
Source: RNAcentral
CAGUCGAGGGGCAGCAUAUAGAUUGCUUGCAAUUUAUGAUGGCGACCGGCGCACGGGUGAGUAACGCGUAUCCAACCUACCCAUUACUAGGGAAUAACCCAGCGAAAGUUGGCCUAAUGCCCUAUGUAGUCGUUUGAUCGCCUGUGAUUUCGACGAAAGAUUUAUCGGUAUUGGAUGGGGAUGCGUCUGAUUAGCUUGUUGGCGGGGUAAAGGCCCACCAAGGCAACGAUCAGUAGGGGUUCUGAGAGGAAGGUCCCCCACAUUGGAACUGAGACACGGUCCAAACUCCUACGGGAGGCAGCAGUGAGGAAUAUUGGUCAAUGGGCGAGAGCCUGAACCAGCCAAGUAGCGUGCAGGAUGACGGCCCUAUGGGUUGUAAACUGCUUUUAUAUGGGAAUAAAGUGAGGGACGUGUCCCUUAUUGCAUGUACCAUAUGAAUAAGGACCGGCUAAUUCCGUGCCAGCAGCCGCGGUAAUACGGAAGGUCCAGGCGUUAUCCGGAUUUAUUGGGUUUAAAGGGAGCGUAGGCUGUUUGUUAAGCGUGUUGUGAAAUGUAAGAGCUCAACCUUUAGAUUGCAGCGCGAACUGGCAGACUUGAGUGCGCACAACGUAGGCGGAAUUCAUGGUGUAGCGGUGAAAUGCCUAGAUAUCAUGACGAACUCCGAUUGCGAAGGCAGCUUAC